CUUAAAAGCCCACGGGAGUUUCAAAUAAACCACUUUUAGCCACUGGAAUCCAGAGAAGGAACUUCGUGGCUCUUUUCUCCUAGUGAAGGGGGGUCAUGCCACUGAAACUUUCUCUGAGAACCUGCGAGCAAGGAGUCGCUAGCAAUCAGCUCUGUUAAUAAUUUAUAUAUCUUUGAAUCUUUCUUUAGAAAAUAUGGCUUCUUCCUAAUAUACAGAAUAAGCUGGACUCAGAAAACCUUUUUUAUAUCUAAAAUGUCAGAAGGAACCUCCUAUAAGGAAGAUGACAUCAGAACAAGUUAAGAGCAUGUGUGCCUAAUGCAUGAAAGACUGUGGGACGUUUAUCCACCACCUCUAUUAAAGAUCUGUAAGCAGUGUACUGAAAGAAAGAUCUCUAUAUUCAAUCGACUGAAUAUUUCUGUGUCAUCAAGCAUUAAAGGUACUGAAAACAUGUGUGUUCUUUCCUUGCUGGCAUGUUUCUUUCCUCUUUUCUCUGAGGUUUUGCUUCUCUGUCACAAGGUUUCAGAUCCCUAGGAACAAAAAACCCAAGAAAAUCCUUCCACAGUGAAUAGAAAGGAAAUCAAACAAUGGAGAGUGCAAAAUAAUGCCAAAUAAAGAAUAAAGAAUAAAUAAAGAAAGAAUAUUA
This 643-nucleotide long non-coding RNA is filed under the name Manacus vitellinus (golden-collared manakin). RNAcentral describes it as "lncRNA (ENSMVIG00005006778.1)". The record is from RNAcentral. Lineage: Eukaryota; Metazoa; Chordata; Aves; Passeriformes; Pipridae.